RNAcentral lists this ribosomal RNA (204 nucleotides) under uncultured bacterium. RNAcentral describes it as "partial 16S ribosomal RNA". It matches the Rfam family "Bacterial small subunit ribosomal RNA", at positions 570 to 774 of the family's 1533-position model. The record is from RNAcentral.
CGUAGGCGGCCGAGUAAGUCCGACGUGAAAUCUGGAGGCUCAACCUCCAGCGGUCGUUGGAAACUACUCGGCUAGAGUCCGGAAGAGGAGAGUGGAAUUCCUGGUGUAGCGGUGAAAUGCGCAGAUAUCAGGAAGAACACCGAUGGCGAAAGCAGCUCUCUGGGACGGUACUGACGCUGAGGCGCGAAAGCGUGGGAGCGAACA